This is a long non-coding RNA of Drosophila montana, 543 nucleotides long. RefSeq lists it as uncharacterized. The transcript has 2 exons. Lineage: Eukaryota; Metazoa; Arthropoda; Insecta; Diptera; Drosophilidae. The record is from RefSeq and is a predicted model, not a curated record.
UUGGCGUUCGUAUAUAUACAUAUAUAUAUAUAUAUAUCACAUUGAAUUGAAUUUAAUCAAAAAACCACCGUUAGGCAGCGAUGAGCCACAUUUCGAGAUCAGUAUCUAAGGCUUGUCAGCUUGUCGAAGAAUUUCAAAGCAAUUAAAAAUUGGAUACGUUACAUACGUCUAUUUAAGCGCAAAUCCUCAACAACAUUCAGAACACAGCUACAAAUGUUCACUCAUCGAUUAUGGCCAGGCAGACAGGCAGCAACUCCAAAACCUGAAGUGUCGUCUAGCCAGCUGGGCAGGCUGGCAGCUGCUGGGCUUAGACACCCACUGUGGACCAAGUGCUGUUAAUACUUUAAUGGCACAUUAUUGAGGCGGGCCUCUAAGUACAUCACUUUGGAUGUAACCCGAAAAAGAAGAGAAGUAGAUUAAAAGAAAGGCAGCUGGUACUUCCGAGGAACACCCACGGUCCACAUUUAAAAAUAAAAUGCAACUUGUGCAUGUUGAAUGACUCGAGUUAAGCACUCGCUGAUUAUCGCCACAAGGAAAAUUCAA